UACGUAGGUGGCGAGCGUUGUCCGGAAUUACUGGGUGUAAAGGGCGUGUAGGCGGGAAUACAAGUCAGAUGUGAAAUACCGAGGCUUAACUUCGGGGCUGCAUCUGAAACUGUGUUUCUUGAGUGUCGGAGAGGAAAGUGGAAUUCCCAGUGUAGCGGUGAAAUGCGUAGAUAUUGGGAGGAACACCAGUGGCGAAGGCGACUUUCUGGACGAUAACUGACGCUGAGGCGCGAAAGCGUGGGGAGCAAACAGG
This 253-nucleotide ribosomal RNA is filed under the name uncultured bacterium. RNAcentral's name for it is "partial 16S ribosomal RNA". It matches the Rfam family "Bacterial small subunit ribosomal RNA", at positions 524 to 776 of the family's 1533-position model. The record is from RNAcentral.